This 183-nucleotide non-coding RNA is filed under the name Salmo salar (Atlantic salmon). RNAcentral describes it as "Eukaryotic large subunit ribosomal RNA". It matches the Rfam family "Eukaryotic large subunit ribosomal RNA", at positions 1640 to 1822 of the family's 3401-position model. Lineage: Eukaryota; Metazoa; Chordata; Actinopteri; Salmoniformes; Salmonidae. The record is from Rfam by way of RNAcentral.
CGCGGUAACGCGACCGAUCCCAGAGAAGCUGGCGGGAGCCCCGGGGCGAGUUCUCUUUUCUUUGUGAAGGGCAGGGCGCCCUGGAAUGGGUUCGCCCCGAGACAGGGGCCCAAGCCCUGGAAAGCGUUGCGGUUCCGGUGGCGUCCGGUGAGCUCUCGCUGGCCCUUGAAAAUCCGGGGGAGA